RNAcentral lists this unclassified non-coding RNA (240 nucleotides) under soil metagenome. RNAcentral describes it as "partial contains 5.8S ribosomal RNA, internal transcribed spacer 2, and large subunit ribosomal RNA". The record is from RNAcentral.
AACUGAUACUACCUGCGGGAACCUGCGGAAGGAUCAUUACCACGCGAUCCAAAAAAACGCUCACUCAAAACAACCUUUUAAAGCUGGGGGGCCACGCGUCUCGCACGCGCGCCCCCCUUGCUUUUGUAUUACACCCCCUUUAUUUCCACACUCCUACCAUGAGGACACCGAAUUUCACUUCGGCAAAGCCCUGGGGCGUGCAGGUCACCAACUCUUUUGUGUUGUGGGCCACGACACCCU